UACGGAGGGUGCAAGCGUUAUCCGGAUUCACUGGGUUUAAAGGGUGCGUAGGUGGGUAUGUAAGUCAGUGGUGAAAUCCCCGAGCUUAACUCGGGAACUGCCGUUGAUACUAUAUGUCUUGAAUAUCGCGUAGGUAAGCGGAAUAUGUCAUGUAGCGGUGAAAUGCUUAGAUAUGACAUAGAACACCAAUUGCGAAGGCAGCUUACUUCACGAUUAUUGACACUGAGGCACGAAAGCGUGGGGAGCAAACAGG
This 253-nucleotide ribosomal RNA is filed under the name uncultured bacterium. RNAcentral describes it as "partial 16S ribosomal RNA". It matches the Rfam family "Bacterial small subunit ribosomal RNA", at positions 524 to 776 of the family's 1533-position model. The record is from RNAcentral.